CAGCCAGGAGGGAGGUAUUGUUCCAGGCUGCAGAGAGGACUAUUACAUCAAGCUAAAGCAUCAGUAGAACACGCCUGACUCUCCUCCACCAGUCAUACAAGGAAAAUGGUCUAAUGUAUCCCAUCAAAAAGAGAGCUGGCACAAACAAGCACAGGUUACACCUGAAGCAUGAGGACUUGCGGCAAGUGGUGAACUUCAUCAACAACUACACAGAGGAUGAUGCAAUAGUAUUACCAGGACGCCACCCAGGACACAAACAUUUUGGUGAAAAGAUACUGCCAUCCCAUGUGACAAAAGCAGCAGUGUGGCGUCUCUACAAGGAAUCGAUGACAACAGUUGCACUGUGGCAGGGGUCAACAUUCCACGGCUGAUUGGACUGGAGGAUGAUACGGUGCUGGUGGAAAGCUAUUGCUGGCAACAACACCUGACUCCGCACUUCAGGCCGCUGCCACAGAUCAAGCAGUACCAGCACUUCAGCUUCGAUGCUCUGGAGCCUGGUGUUGUUGUCACCAAGGAGUGUUCGUACUCGGUCGGGACCAGGUUUCAGCUGCUGCGCAAUGCUGCCAUCCUUCCUCCCAAAGAUGGUCUGCCUGUACAAGUACCACAUGGACUGGACACAGCUAGACAAACGUAUCUUUUUGAGAAGAUCAGGGAGUUUUGCGGCGAAGAGGCUAUUGGGCAUCACAUGCCCUGCACCAAAGUCAAGGGCAGGACAGAAACAGGCUCUCUGAAUUUAGAUUCCCUUGUUCAUGUGUGGUUCGGACGGACCAGUCAUCAGCACUAUCUGCAGUGCCUCUAUUCACAUGACUCUCUCCUAACACACACGCCAUUCAUUGCUGCUACUAUUUGUUUUUUAUCCCGCUGCUCAGCCACUUUACCCCUGAUUGUAUGCGUUUAACUACCACAUCUAUCACUGAUAUUGCUAUUGAUAUUGUUCUUGUCCAUAUUGAAUAUUAUUUUAUUCAUAUUAACACUAUUUCUGAUAUUGCUACUAUGCAAGUAACCAUUUCGCUAUACCGUCCACACCUUCUGUAGAGACACAUCCACUUAGCAAGAUGUGUCGGGAUGAUACAGUAGCAUUUUUGUCACAUGAACCAUCAAUUUAAACAAGUGUGUCUGGGUAAGCGUCAUCUAAUAUUUAUAAAAUAUUUUUUAUCUGGACACGCUGUAUACCUGGAAAUUUUCCUUAUUGUAGGCUACUACUUUUGCCAUUUAUAGUCAUAAUCUUUACUACACUACUCACUGUUUAGCACAUGACCUCACAUGUGAAUCCUUAACGAGAUGGGUGGGGCUGGCUUAAGAGGGUGUGAACAAUGCUGAAUGGGUGUAGACCAAAGGAGUGCUCUCCAGUAGUAGUACCAAAACAUUCAAAGGCCAUUUUCUCAAAAUUGAGGUUACUAGUUUAUCAACUUUCAAAGCAGAAUUACUUUCCCAUUGUUCCUGAACAAUGUAGUGUAUGAUAUACCAUUUUGUAGCUCAGUGUCUCUGCCUUUAUCCAAUGUAAAAAACACAAUUUCAGAUUUUGCUACAUAAGACCGAAUCAAACAGCUGAAAGCUUUUUUUUCUGAAAUCUAAAGCCAUCAUCAUUAUGCUUAAUUCUAUGUAGAAAAAUGUGUAUAUUUUGUGCAUAUGUAAGCAUACCUCUUGAGCUGUCUGUAUCCUCCUGAUUGGUGGUUCUAUUUUUAAAGAAACUAAAUAUGCUUGUCUGCAUCUCUCAGUAAAAGACUGAAAGGAAUGUGAGUCUUAUUCAGGACAUCUAUUUAUUGCUUGCUUUUCUUAUGUCUACUAACAUUGCCAGCAGGCAUGCCAGCUAUGAUACUAAGACAAGUUAGCUACUCUAACUUGAUUGAUGGCCUUAAAUGGCUUCUUGGUUGCUAGUUGUGAGGUACAGAUAUUGGGAACCUAUCUUGGCUAGCUAAAGCCAACUUCACAAAAUGUCUAGGUGGCUAGUAGUAUUACCGGAAAACAACAAUUACAUUACAAAAAUCACAACAAAGACCUCAAACCUAAUGUUCAGACUGUUUAUCUAUGUACUGCUGUCACGUUGGUAUAAAGGGAUCGGGAGACAGGCGCAGGAAUGCGUAAUAAGGGUUUUUAUUGACCCAAAUUGGUGACGAAGACCAAACAAACACAUAUACAAAACACAGGGUUAAGACCCAAACAAAAGAGCGAGGAGUACCUCGAAUAAAUACUCAAGCGCACAAUGAUACCACAUGGGACGAGACCCAUAAUCAUCUGCGGAAUACACGUGGCACGAAAGCCAAACACAGCACAGGUACUCACGCGACCAACGGACAUUGUAACAAUAAUCAACAGGACAAUGGUGAACAAAGGGCACGCUUAUACAAUUUCUAACCAAUGGGAAUAGAGACCAGGUGUGCGUAAUGACACAGUUCCUGGAGGGAUCCGUGACAACUGCCCUUAAUAUUUAAGACCAUUUUACCCACUUGUGUUUUACCCAAUAUAAAUCAGAGCAUAUGGUGGUCUAUCCCAUAUGUGGAGUAGAUCUAGCUAUGUGCCUCAACUCCAAAUAAAUGAGAAAUAUAAGCACCGUCUAAAAACCUGAACAUAGUUGCAUGCACGCAACACAUAAUAUGGGAGGCGAAUGAAUCUCGACAUUAUACAACUUUUGAGGUCUGAAAAUGUUUGACAAACUUGUCAAAUGUAAAAUAAUUGACAGACCAGAGGGCACACUUCAUUCAUAUACCUCUCUGAAAGAUGCUAGUUGGAGAGUUUUGGAAGGUUGUCCAUACCCAUAGUGCAUUGCAGCAGAAAGGAAACACUGGCAGUCUCAUCUGAAAAAGGUUGAAUUAAUUGAAAACAGAAAAACAACACACCAUUCAAACCAUACUACAUUGAUAGAAUAAUGAAUGAUGAUAAAAUCUUUAUCAGCAUUUAGAUGGAAGAAAACUAACAUGAAAUGAUCUCGUUGACAUGCUAUGGCAAGGUGUUGUCUACUCUGCAUCACUAACCAUUACAAAUGAAGAAUUCACAUUCCUCAGCCUGUUGCCUUAAUGAUUUUGUCUCUGUGUGGUGAAUCUAAAGCUUUUAUAGUGUUUUGUUUGGUUAUUUCUGUAUUAAUGUUUUGAUAUUUUAUCUGUUUGUCAUAAUCCCCUCAGAACACACUUCAUUCUGUGCUUGAAGUCUUUGAGCAGGUGAUUGAGCUGAUAGAAAUUGUAACGUCUGCUUCCAGCUCGCACUCUCAAACACCUAGAUCCCCUGAACGCAGCUCACUCUCCAGAUCCCAAUCACCUGAAUUCUAAUCACCUGUUCACACACCUGUAUGUCAUUAUCACACACUAUUUAGUUCAGUUCUUUGCACCGCAUUGUUUGUUUUGUGACACACGUCUUUCAGAGCACUGGAUUUCCAGUGCUUGCCUCACUAACGACGCCUAUUGAAUUUCCUGUUACCUACCAAUUGCCUGAUCUCCUGGACUACGUUUACUAGCCUUUUCCGUGCCUGUACUGUUGCCCUUUUGGACCCCCUGCCUGCACUUGGACCCAGCUACCUGCCUCUUCCUGUGGUCCUUUGCAACAAACACCUGCUGUGCCCUGCGCUUGAAACCAGCGCUCUGUCUCCCCUCGUUUUCAUUACAGAAAUGAAUUCCUUAGAAAUUCCAUGUUGUGUUACUUACAACUGUUUGUAGCGAACACCUGUCUUGAGUGUACACGCUCCUUUUGUCACGCCCUGACCAUGGUAAGCUGUUUAUUCUCUGUGUUGGUUGGGGUGUGAUAGUGACUUGGGUGGGUCAUCUAGGUGAAUUUGUAUGUCUAUGGUGGCCUGAUAUGGUUCCCAAUCAGAGGCAGCUGUUUAUCGUUGUCUCUGAUUGGGGAUCAUAUUUAGGUAGCCAUUUCCCCAUGGUUAUUCGUGGGAUCUUGUCUACAUUUAGUUGCCUGAGUGCACCACAGUAGCUGCACGUUUUGUUUUUUGUCCUUGUUCGUUUUGUUUUGCUGCGUUUCGGUUUAUUAAAAAUAUGUGGAACUCUACUCAGGUUCCAACUCACACCUUCAAAUACGUAGAUCCCCUGAAUGCAGCUCACUUUCCAGCCCACUUUCCAGCUCACACUCUCAAACACAUAGAUCCCAUGAACGCAGCUCACUCUCCAGAUCCCAAUCACCUGAACUCUAU
Salvelinus fontinalis (brook trout) is the source of this 4129-nucleotide long non-coding RNA. RefSeq lists it as uncharacterized. Lineage: Eukaryota; Metazoa; Chordata; Actinopteri; Salmoniformes; Salmonidae. The record is from RefSeq and is a predicted model, not a curated record. The transcript has 4 exons.